GAUGAACGCUGGCGGCGUGCCUAAUACAUGCAAGUCGAGCGAACAGACGAGGAGCUUGCUCCUCUGACGUUAGCGGCGGACGGGUGAGUAACACGUGGAUAACCUACCUAUAAGACUGGGAUAACUUCGGGAAACCGGAGCUAAUACCGGAUAAUAUAUUGAACCGCAUGGUUCAAUAGUGAAAGACGGUUUUGCUGUCACUUAUAGAUGGAUCCGCGCCGCAUUCGCUAGUUGGUAAGGUAACGGCUUACCAAGGCAACGAUCCGUAGCCGACCUGAGAGGGUGAACGUCCACACUGGAACUGGAACACGGUCCCGACUCCCACGGGAGGCAGCAGUAGGGAAUCUUCCCGAAAGGGCGAAUGCCUGACGGAGCAACGCCGCGGGAGUGAUGAAGAUCUUCGGAGCGUAAAACUCUGGUAUUAGGGAAGAACAAAUGUGUAAGUAACUAUGCACGUCUUGACGGUACCUAAUCAGAAAGCCACGGCUAACUACGUG
Molecule: ribosomal RNA, 497 nt
Filed under: uncultured bacterium
Lineage: Bacteria
Description: partial 16S ribosomal RNA
Rfam family: Bacterial small subunit ribosomal RNA
Source: RNAcentral